AUCCUGGUGGCCUAAUGGAUAAGGCGUCGGUUUUCGGAGCCGAAGACUGUGGGUUCGAGUCCCAUCUAGGGNN
RNAcentral lists this transfer RNA (73 nucleotides) under Hydatigera taeniaeformis. Its description in RNAcentral is "Taenia taeniaeformis tRNA". It matches the Rfam family "tRNA". From Rfam's summary of the family: Transfer RNA (tRNA) molecules are approximately 80 nucleotides in length. Their secondary structure includes four short double-helical elements and three loops (D, anti-codon, and T loops). The record is from Rfam by way of RNAcentral. Lineage: Eukaryota; Metazoa; Platyhelminthes; Cestoda; Cyclophyllidea; Taeniidae.